This 308-nucleotide long non-coding RNA is filed under the name Mustela putorius furo (domestic ferret). RNAcentral describes it as "lncRNA (ENSMPUG00000027813.1)". Lineage: Eukaryota; Metazoa; Chordata; Mammalia; Carnivora; Mustelidae. The record is from RNAcentral.
GUCACAUUGCAGCCGGUGGCGAUGUCUGUGGUGUCUGUCACAUGCUGUUGAACACAGCUCUUAAAUGCUUUCUGACCACUCGAUGGGGAAAUAGCCUCGGCACAAUGGAGUACCUUUCCCAAGGUCACACAGCUGGUACGUGGCAAAGGCAGGAGUCCCUCUUGGACAAUCCCUGGGACCUAGGAGAUGCUCAGUGACCCUCACUGAUCAGCUCCCGUGGCCCCCCCAUCCAGGAGAUGUCUUGGGCCCAGGGUCAUUUUCCCUGGGAUCUUCCAGGUCAAGUGUCAGAAAGCGUAAAGAUAGGCCCA